AUUGAACGCUGGCGGCAUGCCUUACACAUGCAAGUCGAACGGUAACAGGUCUUCGGAUGCUGACGAGUGGCGAACGGGUGAGUAAUACAUCGGAACGUGCCUAGUAGUGGGGGAUAACUACUCGAAAGAGUGGCUAAUACCGCAUGAGAUCUACGGAUGAAAGCAGGGGAUCGCAAGACCUUGUGCUACUAGAGCGGCCGAUGGCGGAUUAGGUAGUUGGUGGGAUAAAAGCUUGCCGAGCCGACGAUCUGUAGCUGGUCUGAGAGGACGAUCAGCCACACUGGGACUGAGACACGGCCCAGACUCCUACGGGAGGCAGCAGUGGGGAAUUUUGGACAAUGGGCGAAAGCCUGAUCCAGCAAUGCCGCGUGCAGGAUGAAGGCCUUCGGGUUGUAAACUGCUUUUGUACGGAACGAAAAGCCCCGGGUUAAUACCCUGGGGUCAUGACGGUACCGUAAGAAUAAGCACCGGCUAACUACGUGCCAGCCGCCGCCGUAA
This 498-nucleotide ribosomal RNA is filed under the name uncultured bacterium. RNAcentral's name for it is "partial 16S ribosomal RNA". It matches the Rfam family "Bacterial small subunit ribosomal RNA", at positions 30 to 523 of the family's 1533-position model. The record is from RNAcentral.